RNAcentral lists this ribosomal RNA (468 nucleotides) under uncultured bacterium. RNAcentral describes it as "partial 16S ribosomal RNA". It matches the Rfam family "Bacterial small subunit ribosomal RNA", at positions 28 to 507 of the family's 1533-position model. The record is from RNAcentral.
GACGAACGCUGGCGGCGGGCUUAACACAUGCAAGUCGAACGGAAACGCCCUGCUUUCGUGGGCUGCCCGAGUGGUGAACGGUUGAGACACACGUGAGUAACCUGCACUUGUCUUUGGGAUAACUUCAGGUACCUGGGGCUCAUACCGGAUAGGAGCUUCUGCUGCAUGGUGGGGGUUGGAAAGUUUCGGCGGAUGGGGAUGGACUCGCGGCGUAUCAGCUUGUUGGUGGGGUAGUGGCUUACCAAGGCUUUGACGGGUCGCCGGCCUGAGAGGGUGACCGGCCACAUUGGGACUGAAAUACGGCCCAGACUCGUACGGGAGGCAGCAGAGGGGAAUAGUGCACUAUGGGCGGAAGCCUGAUGCAGCAACGCCGCGUGGGGUAAGACGUCCUUCGGGUAGUAAACCACUGUCGCCUGAGACGAAGCGUGAAUGACGGUAACGGGUAAAUAAGCACCGGCUAACUACGUG